This 144-nucleotide unclassified non-coding RNA is filed under the name soil metagenome. RNAcentral's name for it is "partial internal transcribed spacer 1". The record is from RNAcentral.
CAAUAAGUGUUUUAUGGCACUUUUAAAUCCAUAUCCACCUUGUGUGCAAUGUCAGUCGAUCUUCUUCAUGGAGAUCGACCAAACAUCAACCUUUAUCUUUUAACUCUUUGUCUGAAAAAUAUUAUGAAUAAACAAUUCAAAAUA